RNAcentral lists this ribosomal RNA (355 nucleotides) under uncultured bacterium. RNAcentral describes it as "partial 16S ribosomal RNA". It matches the Rfam family "Bacterial small subunit ribosomal RNA", at positions 338 to 690 of the family's 1533-position model. The record is from RNAcentral.
CCUACGGGGGGCAGCAGUGAGGAAUAUUGGUCAAUGGGCGAGAGCCUGAACCAGCCAAGUCGCGUGAAGGAUGACGGCCCUACGGGUUGUAAACUUCUUUUGUCAGGGAGCAAGGGGGGCCACGCGUGGGCUUAGCGAGAGGACCUGAAGAAAAAGCAUCGGCUAACUCCGUGCCAGCAGCCGCGGUAAGACGGAGGAUGCGAGCGUUAUCCGGAUUGAUUGGGUUUAAAGGGUGCGUAGGCGGAAUAUCAAGUCAGCGGUAAAAAUUCGGGGCUCAACCCCGUCGUGCCGUUGAAACUGAUGUUCUUGAGUGGGCGUGAAGUAUGCGGCAUGCGUGGUGUAGCGGUGACAUGCC